CAGUAGCCGCGGGAACACAGAGGGUGCAAGCGUUAAUCGGAAUUACUGGGCGUAAAGCGCGCGUAGGUGGUUUGUUAAGUUGGAUGUGAAAGCCCCGGGCUCAACCUGGGAACUGCAUCCAAAACUGGCAAGCUAGAGUACGGUAGAGGGUGGUGGAAUUUCCUGUGUAGCGGUGAAAUGCGUAGAUAUAGGAAGGAACACCAGUGGCGAAGGCGACCACCUGGACUGAUACUGACACUGAGGUGCGAAAGCGUGGGGAGCAAACAGGAUUAGAUACCCCCGUAGUCCCUGUCUCUUAUAC
RNAcentral lists this ribosomal RNA (301 nucleotides) under uncultured bacterium. RNAcentral describes it as "partial 16S ribosomal RNA". It matches the Rfam family "Bacterial small subunit ribosomal RNA", at positions 509 to 807 of the family's 1533-position model. The record is from RNAcentral.